UGGUAAAUAAAUGCGCCAUGAACCAGGACGCUAGGUAUUACUUUGAAGGAAAAUUAAAGUUAAAAUAUAAUAGGAUAAAUUCAAACUUAUCAAGUGUUUCCUCGAAGUAAUUCAAGCUUUUUAAUUUGAAGGGAUGUAUCUGUCAAUAUAUUUUCAGAACGAUAGUGAUGUGAAUGAUUGAUCCGCUUCACUAGAAGAAAAAUGAUCUAGACAAAAAUGUCUCUUUGGAGUAUGCUUUACUUUUCUGUUUAUUAUCGUUUCAGUGACUACACAACUAUACACUGGUACUUCUGGGACAUAGUAGCUAUUCAAGAGGUUUAUUCAACGAUUUCAAAACUAAUAUAAUUUCAACUGUGCGGACACUGAUAAAGCGACAAUGCAACUUUUAAUGAAUGACAAGCAUUGUUUUAUUUCUUGGAUGCAUGAAUUUCAUUUAUUCAUCAUUUACAAGAUGGAAUGUAAAGAAAAUAAAAUAAAAGACAAUACUUAUAAUGUCAUGGAUGCGGAUCAUAAACACCAUUUGAAACCUAGACCAAUGGAUUUCUGGUUUGGAAAAUGGCCAGAGAAGAAGCGCUCGGAGUUCUUCGUGUGGCAACCUCUAACCUAUAAGUUCGAGUGUGAUCGGAUAAUUCUUCUGUCACAUGAUCAGAACAAAAAAGUUCUUGAAAUAGAAACAUGUCAACAGUUGAAAGAAUUUGAUUUUCAGCAUUUAUUUGAAUCUUAUAUUAAAGUGUACGCCAAUGCAAUCUUAUGCAAACCGCUGUGCAGUGCAAAAGUCAUCUGGCCAUCUUUAAACUCGGCGUGAAAAAACAAAAACAACAACCGGUAGUUCUGUCAUAUACACCGAGGAAUCAUUCCAUAAGAAGCAAAAGGAAAGCCCGGUGAUUAAGAAUAUUUUACGAUACAAUUUUGACAACUGGGUGCAUGCACUGAUAUAGGUUUUCCUCGAAUCUUAUAUGAAAAGGUUUUGACUAUGUGUCCGUACUAUCUCCUUGCUGACUAAAGAUGUCCAACCUUUGUGUCCUACAUGUUUUGAAGAUAUGGUUGCUGUCCGUAUACAUGUACGUGGAUUUAUCUAACAGUCUACAUGUAUGCGUAAUAAUAUUAGUCAUUUCACACGCAACGGCUAUGUGUAAAAAGCCAGUAAUGAAAUUGCUAUAACCAUAACAAUAUCAACAUUAGCUUUAAGGUUCUACUACAUACACGGAUCCGAGAUUUUGUACUAUUUUCAAUCUGUUUAUUGUAUUGUUGCUGAAAGUUCGAAGGGAACAGUUUUCAUCUCUAAUCAAAUAUAUGCCUAAUUAAGCAUUUAGUCCUUUCCGGUAUUUCUGGUGUCCUUUAAAAGUAGAUGCAUCGACAUCAGUGGCUAGGAUUACAUGUAGGAACAUUUUUUACAAAUCUUCUAAAGACCAUACAAUUUACCCUGGGUCCAGGAUCGAGCCACAAAUGGGGUUCAAAGCUUGACAAUAAUUAUAUAUUGGAAAAGUCUUUUCACAUUUUCUUAAAGAAUAUAAUAACAUGUUUUGAAAAUGUUUUUAAUAACAACAGGGACAAUAUGGCGUAUGUGAACAUUGUGUCCCAUCGUCUCUUGUAUUUUGUUUCUGAUGAUAUUCUAAUUAUUUCCAACAUUAUCGUAAUUAUUGAUGCAUGCGAAUAUAGCCACAUAUUUGAUUUAACAUUUACAUCAAAAUUAAUUUUUUAUAUUGUUAUUACAGUAUGAUAGAUGAUGCUCAACAUCAGCAUGAAUAGUAUAUAUCUCCUAUGUUAUUUAUCUUUCAGGGAAUAUCGCUAUGUACAUAUUCUAUUGUAAAUAGUAAAUUCUGAAAAUAUUUCAUAGCGGGACAAGAAAGAAAAUUGCUGGGCAUUAAACUGUAAUUCGUAUAUUUAAAGUCUAUGUGAUGGAAGAUGUAAAUAUAAACAUUAGAGACAAUUUCUGCAAGAGGUAACCCCCAUCUAGUUUUUUUAGUAUUACACUAUGAUAUUUUUUGCGGAAAACGUUGAUAAAUGCCAUCGUAAAGAGUAAGUUCCAAUAUUGUCUUAUAACACGAGGUAGACCGUAAGCUACUUUUAGGUGAAAGCCUGAAAUUUGUUGUUUUAUAAGUGUUUGUUUACAGUCCUAUUUACCAUCAUAUUCAUAAACACGUCUUAGGGGGCCGGGUUUUAUAUAAAUACAAAGUGCAACGUGUAUGAUAAUGUUUUAGAUAUACUUUUUGUAGAAUAUCUUUAUUUCAAUUACAAAUUGCACGUACUGCAUAUUCCUAGAUGUAACCUAAAACAAAAAUAUUGAAAUACAUUAUAAAGCCUCUGCUACCGGUUGUUCUUGUCCAAGCAUUUUGGGAUUGCAUCUUUUUUAAUAUUUGCAAUUCUCUUUCUGUGUGUGGUGUUUUUCUUCUUCAGAAAUUAUGUGGAGAUGUACAAGUGCCACAAUUAUGCCUGAACAUUUUCAGUAGAACAUUUAUAAUGGAGCUUUUGAAAUUCAUCAUUUUUGUUGUCUUAGGAAUUGAGACUGUGUCUUAUCCACAUCAGAUUACAACACCUCCCGUGGAUGAGAACGAUACUACUACACAAAAGGCAGAGAAUGGCAUAAACUAUGUGGGAACACCUUACCCGGUAACAACACAACAACCAGAUAAAACGACGACACAGCAACUUCAUCAGACUACGACAGAAAAUCAUACAAACACCCCAGCACCACCACAGGCCAUGCCAGAAACACCUGAAAACAACUCAUCGAAUGACAUGUCCGCUAUGUCAGACACGAAGACUCCAACAGAUAACAGUACAAUGACUGUGGCUAUAGGGAGUGUUUUUCUUUUUUUUCUUGUAAUGUUCAUCGCAUUCGUUAUUUUCAUCUUGGUCGCAAUUUAACCGGCCGAUCUUUUUAUGUUGGAUACAUUUAGAGCGCAUGGGUGUAAAUGAGAAUGCUAUUGUGGGUCAGUGGGUGUAAGUGUAUCUACAUGGGGGUCUUAGCGGUGGUAUUUUGCAGACAAACAUAAAAAACAUUUAGUUAUUUUUAUUUAUUAAAAUCAAAUGUGCAUGAAUGUAAAUAGUUUUUUAACCUCUUUCAAUGAUAUUUGAUGCUAUAAAUGCUGAACAUGUUACAUUCCUUGAUUCAUAAAUUUGCAUAAGGUAACACCUUUGUAAUUAACAAGUAUAUCCCACUAGUGGAUUUGACAGGAACGAGGAUCAUCCAGAUAAGCAGUUUACUGUCGCUGGGGGUGCAAUAAGUUAAUAUUGUUUCGUUAGUGAUUGAUUGAUUAUAUAUUGUUUAACGUCCCUCUGGAGAAUAUUUCACUCAUAUGGAGAUGUCACCACAUCCGGUGUUAUAGAGCGAGACUUCUCCCCAUAGUGGGACUUUCCCCCGGACGUCUGCCUCUAGAGUGAGCCUUCCCCUUGGGGAAGUCUGCAGCUCUAGAGUGAGCUUUCCCCCUGCGGAAGUCUGGCUCUAGAUUGGACCUUCCCCCGGUAGUCUUGUUCUAGAGUAAGCCUCCCCCAGCAGACUUACUCUAGAAUAAACCUUACCCCUAGGGGAAGACUCAUUCUAGAGCCAUAAAACUCUCUUGAAGUCUCGUUCUAGAGGGACACCCCCACUUUCAUCCCCUCCUGGGCAAACUAUAAAUAAAUUUUAGCUUAUCGGACAGGGAACCUACCUAUCAACCUAUACCUACCUAUCCACCUCUCUACCUAUAACUACCUACCUGCCUACCUAACUAUACCUGCCUACCUAACUAUACCUACCUACCUACCUACCUAUACCUACCUACCUUUCUACCAUCCUACCUAUUUAUACCAAUCUAUACCUACCUACCUACCUACCUACCUACCUACCUACCUACCUACCUACCUACCUACUUACCUACCUACCUCUCUACCUACCUACCUACCUACCUACCUACCUACCUACCUCUCUACUUACCUCUCUACCUACCUCACAAGUUUAAAAGCAUAGCCGAUAUUUGUACGCAGAUGAGAAGAAACAUAAAUUUGAAAUUUCCUCAUUUCAUUUUUCAAACUUCUAAAACUAACCAAGGCAUAGGUAUUGUGUGAGACAAAACUCAAGGUCUAUGGGUUAAACAAAAUGACUUAUUAAUUCCAAUAUGUCUUAUGCACCGUUUACUUCUUUUGAGUUUAAUGAACGACUUAAGCAAAAUCAUUUAAUGACCUGCUGAAAAAGGUCUUGCUAUCUAAACAAUCUCCAUAAAGUGAUAGUAGUUUACCAGGAAUAAACAAAGGGAGAAGUCCUGCUAUGAGGGGAAGUCUGACUCUAAAACUAGUGAUAGAGUAGGUCUUCCCACGGGGAAGUCUGUCUCUAGAGUGAGACUUCCCCGGGGGGUUCUCCUGCUCUAGAGUGAGCCUUUCCCCAGGGGGAAGGCUCACUCUAGAACAGCCUUCCGGAGGGGGGGGGGGUCCUUCUUAUGGGGGAAGGUAAUGAGAAUACUUAGAAUACCCCCUCCCACGAAAAAACAAAACAAAAACACGGGACACCCUGGACCGAACGUCCAUACUUUAGUGUAGGCCUAGAAGAUAGUUGGCGCCUCGGAUGUUUUUAGUGUCAGCCUUAAAUCCGAAAGCCCUCUGUCACACAGCGUGUCCACGGAAUAUCCUGUUUUGUUUUCAUGGUGUAACAUGGAGUAUGUAUAGUACAUUUUUCUACUAUUGAACUAUUGGUUGCCUAAACUAUAAAGAUAUAUUUUUGAAUAGGCAAAUUAAUUUUUUAAUGAGAUGAUUUUGUUUUCCAACUUGAUUUUGUUAAUUUUCAAAUUCUUUGUAAUCAUAUGUGAAUGAAAGGUGAAGAUAAAGAACAGUGAUCAAUCUCGUAAUUCCUACAAGCAAUUCAAAAUAGAUAGUUGGGCAAACACAGACCCCUGGACACACCAGAGGUGGAAUCAGGUGCCUAGGAGGAGUAAGCAUCCCCUUUCGACCGGUCACACACGCCGUGAGCCCUAUAUCCCGAUUAUGUAAACGGAAUUAUCCGUAGUCAAAAUCAGUGUGCUAACAAUGGCCUAACAAUCGGUAUGAAACACGUCAAACAGCAUUUGACCUAAUGAUAGAUUGCAUUGACGAACUAGAUCGUUAUAACGCGAAAUGCUGACUUCAAUCGAGACUGUUGAAACCCCUGUACCAUCAACUUGUUUGUCAGUAGCUUACCUCGAUUUAAAAACUGACUAUACGCAGAACAAGAUCUUGCAUAUCGAAUCAGUUGAGAUAUAUAAACAUCAUAUGCAGGUGAUAAUGGAAUAUAGCUACAUAAAUAUGGGAAGUUGAUGAUGGAGAAGCUGCAAUCAUCCCGUUUGUCAUACAGUUGAGUUGUACGUUUGCCGUUAAUGUAUACUUUCAAUAAAAUAUCUAAAUAUGAAGCAGAAGUGGACGACUAUGUGGUGACUUUUAUUUCGAGCUCACUGAGAGAUAUCAAAUCGAUAUAUGAAUGAAAGUUAUUAUUGUUAAUAGACAAAACGUCAUCGAUAUAUCAAAAUGUCGAAUUGAAGGCCACAGUGAGAGCUUUUUUCUUCUCAUGUAGAAGUUUUUGAAUAAAGUCUGCUUCAUAUGAAUAUAGAAACAGGUCAGCUAACAAAGGAGCACAAUUCAUGCCCAUGGAGGUUCCAACAGACUGUUGGAAGACCUGAUCACCAAAGACCACGAAAAUAUUGUCAAUGAGGAACUUUAGCAUAUUUUUUGUUUCAAAUUCAGAGUAUUUGUGCGUGGAAUCAGAGUGGUGUUUAAAAAGGUAGGUUUUUGAAUGAUUGAUCACUAGAUAUGAAUAUUUCCGUUUUCCAUUUUUGUUGAAGAAGCAACUGUCUUUGAUGUUAAAAAAUCUAGUCUUUAAUUUAUCGUGAGGAAUGGUCGUGUAUAGUGUUGAAAAGUCAUAGAUUUUAAUUUCAUUGAUUUGGGAAAAGUUCUGCGAUUUCAAGUUUACUAAAAGUUCUUUAGAUUUUUUAAGAUUCCACAUUUGAUUAACGCCACUUCUGACAUAUAACAGACUCUGAACUAUUUUUUUUGUCUAAACUAUUUUUUUCUAAUACAAGAUUAAUGUUUGGAGUGAUUUGAAAGGAAAUAAUGGCUUUUAAUAUUAAAAUCAAUGAAUUUGAGUUAAAUUGUUUUAAAAGUUGUGUAUAAUCACAUUGGUAACGAGAUUCAAAGGAUAUGGUUUAAAGUAUCCAUUCACAAAAAGGACCAGCGAAAGGUGGUAUGGAAACAUCAACAUACUAUCGAUCAUGUUUGUUGCAACUUUUCUCCAUUUCGCAAUUUGUUUCUACGGGAAUUAUAAAUGCACCUGAAAUGGGUAUCUAUGUCAUUGCAUAUUUGGAUCCGAUCAUUAUUAACACACAAUAUGAAUAAACACGAGGAAAUUAAA
Molecule: RNA transcript, 6352 nt
Organism: Ostrea edulis (European flat oyster)
Lineage: Eukaryota; Metazoa; Mollusca; Bivalvia; Ostreida; Ostreidae
Exons: 4
Source: RefSeq, a predicted model, not a curated record